Molecule: ribosomal RNA, 722 nt
Filed under: uncultured organism
Description: SSU rRNA
Rfam family: Bacterial small subunit ribosomal RNA
Source: RNAcentral
GCUGGCGGCGUGCCUAAUACAUGCAAGUCGAGCGGACGAUUCAAAAGCUUGCUUUUGAAUCGUUAGCGGCGGACGGGUGAGUAACACGUGGGCAACCUGCCCUGUAGACGGGGAUAACACCGAGAAAUCGGUGCUAAUACCGGAUAACACGAGAGACCGCAUGGUUUUUCGUUGAAAGGCGGCGCAAGCUGUCGCUACAGGAUGGGCCCGCGGCGCAUUAGCUAGUUGGUGAGGUAACGGCUCACCAAGGCGACGAUGCGUAGCCGACCUGAGAGGGUGAUCGACCACACUGGGACUGAGACACGGCCCAGACUCCUACGGGAGGCAGCAGUAGGGAAUCUUCCGCAAUGGACGAAAGUCUGACGGAGCAACGCCGCGUGAGCGAAGAAGGCCUUCGGGUCGUAAAGCUCUGUUGUUAGGGAAGAACAAGUACCGCAGUCACUGGCGGUACCUUGACGGUACCUAACGAGAAAGCCACGGCUAACUACGUGCCAGCAGCCGCGGUAAUACGUAGGUGGCAAGCGUUGUCCGGAAUUAUUGGGCGUAAAGCGCGCGCAGGCGGUUCCUUAAGUCUGAUGUGAAAGCCCACGGCUCAACCGUGGAGGGUCAUUGGAAACUGGGGGACUUGAGUGCAGAAGAGGAGAGCGGAAUUCCACGUGUAGCGGUGAAAUGCGUAGAGAUGUGGAGGAACACCAUUGGCGAAGGCGGCUCUCUGGUCUGUA